Molecule: transfer RNA, 76 nt
Filed under: Syntrophobacterales bacterium
Lineage: Bacteria; Pseudomonadati; Thermodesulfobacteriota; Syntrophobacteria; Syntrophobacterales
Also listed under: 1 other name
Description: tRNA-Thr
Rfam family: tRNA
About the family: Transfer RNA (tRNA) molecules are approximately 80 nucleotides in length. Their secondary structure includes four short double-helical elements and three loops (D, anti-codon, and T loops). Further hydrogen bonds mediate the characteristic L-shaped molecular structure. tRNAs have two regions of fundamental functional importance: the anti-codon, which is responsible for specific mRNA codon recognition, and the 3' end, to which the tRNAs corresponding amino acid is attached (by aminoacyl-tRNA synthetases). tRNAs cope with the degeneracy of the genetic code in two manners: having more than one tRNA (with a specific anti-codon) for a particular amino acid; and 'wobble' base-pairing, i.e. permitting non-standard base-pairing at the 3rd anti-codon position.
Source: RNAcentral
GCCGAUGUAGCUCAGCCGGCAGAGCAGCUGAUUCGUAAUCAGCAGGUCGGCGGUUCGAUCCCGCCCAUCGGCUCCA